Molecule: transfer RNA, 74 nt
Filed under: Nanobdellota archaeon
Lineage: Archaea; Nanobdellati; Nanobdellota
Also listed under: 1 other name
Description: tRNA-Lys
Rfam family: tRNA
About the family: Transfer RNA (tRNA) molecules are approximately 80 nucleotides in length. Their secondary structure includes four short double-helical elements and three loops (D, anti-codon, and T loops).
Source: RNAcentral
GGGCCGGUAGCUCAGCCUGGUAGAGCGCCUCACUUUUAAUGAGGCGGUCGCGAGUUCGAAUCUCGUCCGGCCCA